Small nuclear RNA from Malaya genurostris, 148 nucleotides. RefSeq annotates it as U4 spliceosomal RNA. The record is from RefSeq and is a predicted model, not a curated record. Lineage: Eukaryota; Metazoa; Arthropoda; Insecta; Diptera; Culicidae. The transcript has a single exon.
AGCUUUGCGCAGUGGCGAUAUCGUAACCAAUGAGGUUCAACCGAGGUGCGAUUAUUGCUAGUUAAAACUAACAAAACAUGCACAAUAUAAGAAUUAUAUGACUAGCUAAAGGCACUUUUUUACGAAUAUUCAACAUAUAUACAAAAAU